AUUAUAUUGGCAGAUUAGUGCUUUGAAUUUAGAAUUCAAAAAUAUAUUUUAUAAUAUAUAUAAUA
This 65-nucleotide transfer RNA is filed under the name Semidalis aleyrodiformis. RNAcentral's name for it is "tRNA-Leu". Lineage: Eukaryota; Metazoa; Arthropoda; Insecta; Neuroptera; Coniopterygidae. The record is from RNAcentral.